RNAcentral lists this ribosomal RNA (428 nucleotides) under uncultured bacterium. RNAcentral's name for it is "bacterial SSU rRNA". It matches the Rfam family "Bacterial small subunit ribosomal RNA", at positions 354 to 796 of the family's 1533-position model. The record is from RNAcentral.
GUGGGGAAUAUUGGGCAAUGGGGGGAACCCUGACCCAGCAACGCCGCGUGAGUGAAGAAGGUCUUCGGAUCGUAAAGCUCUGUCAUUAGGGAAGAAGGAAGUGACGGUACCUAAUGAGGAAGCCCCGGCUAACUACGUGCCAGCAGCCGCGGUAAUACGUAGGGGGCGAGCGUUGUCCGGAAUUACUGGGCGUAAAGGGCGCGUAGGCGGUUAAUUAAGUCAGAUGUGAAACCCCUCGGCUUAACCGGGGACUGGCAUUUGAAACUGGUUAACUUGAGUGCAGGAGAGGAAAGUGGAAUUCCUAGUGUAGCGGUGAAAUGCGUAGAGAUUAGGAGGAACACCAGUGGCGAAGGCGGCUUUCUGGACUGUAACUGACGCUGAGGCGCGAAAGCGUGGGGAGCAAACAGGAUUAGAAACCCUAGUAGUCC